RNAcentral lists this small RNA (159 nucleotides) under Chryseobacterium sp. FH1. RNAcentral's name for it is "Flavo-1 RNA". It matches the Rfam family "Flavo-1 RNA". The record is from Rfam by way of RNAcentral. Lineage: Bacteria; Pseudomonadati; Bacteroidota; Flavobacteriia; Flavobacteriales; Weeksellaceae.
UUUAUGCCAUUGCGACAGGGAUAGUAGCGGUUAUCCUUUUGCUUUUUUCGUUGAUUGGGUUGGGAAAUGUGGUUGGGAAAAAGGAUGGUUGUAUAUAUAUAUAGUAUGUUGAAACUAUUACAAAAAAGCAAAAGAUAGUAGCGGAUAGCCCGGUGACAA